This 382-nucleotide long non-coding RNA is filed under the name Nicotiana benthamiana. Its description in RNAcentral is "long non-coding RNA (NBEN_LNC013079)". Lineage: Eukaryota; Viridiplantae; Streptophyta; Magnoliopsida; Solanales; Solanaceae. The record is from RNAcentral.
UCUCCUCGUUGGAUUUGAAACUAUAAUAAAUAUUCCCAUGUUGAAGCUGAUGAAAAUCUUGAAAAUUUUGAGUACUACUCAAAUGAUUAGAAUCUUGAAUUUCCUGUUUGCACCAUAGCCUUUUUUGUUGUUGUUGUUGGCUAUAAGGGUAACGCAUAUUCAAAGGUUGAGCUUGUUCGAAUGCAAUUUUAGACCAGAUAUGAUUCACGUUUGCCAUAGCUACUGAUUGUUCCAUUUGUGAGAUGAGAUCCAAAGGUUUCUUGAAAUUUUUUUUAUAAGCCCCCGUCAACUUUUUUACAUGCAGUUCAAUUCAAAGUAAAAAAAAUGAAAAAAAAAGUUGAUUAGCGUAUAAAGGGAGGGGAAAGUGGGAGGGGAUAAAAAG